CAGUGACCUAGGCCUACCUGCCACCAAAAAAGAUCUGCUGGUGGCAUAUGACGAGCAGGACAAGAAUGACAUCAGUGCAACUAGAACUGCAGCCCUGCCUGGGCUGCCACUGUACCUAAAAGAAGACUCAUCAGUGAUCUUCAAGAGUUGCAAGGAGGAGGAGUUCGAAGCAUUCCAGAAGGGUGCAGUGGCGCUGUUGGCCGUGGUGGCUAAAGAGGACAUUGCGGCAGGGAUUCCCUUUCAACCUCUCCAUGUCUGUCAUCCUGGAGGAUCAGGUUGUAAUGACUCUCAGAUCUUGGACUGAUGCACUGGUGGUGUUGUUUAGCUUGAUCUAUGCCCUCAAUUUGAGCUAUCCGGCGAAGCUGCGUCACUUCUUUGAGUUCAUCCAGGUUGUCCUCUUAACUCUAGAUGAUGGAAGAAAACAGCUCAAACCUAAGUUGCAGGCCUUGAAAAAUGAGUUAGAGUAAAGAGGGGACGUCCUGCACCAAGACUUCCAGCAGUCAUGGUUUACAGCCCAACAAAGUCUUACAUGCAGAAAUCAGUUCAUAGAAAUGAUCAGUUCAUAUAAAAAUCGGGACUUGUAUUGACUAAAUUCCCUUUAUGCACAGCUCAACUACUUCCUGAAUCUCAGACGCUCUUUCAUUACCUCUGGAACAGGAUGGGACAUAACUAAUUAAACCACCUGUGCUUGAUCUCAGCAGCCAACAACAAGCAAGCACACCUGGUUUAAUUAGGUCCAAUCCUGUAUCAGAGGAAAUAUGUGUCUGGGAUUCAGGAAGUAUUGGAGCCUAUAGCUCUUUGCUAAUUUCUAUAGAUGGUUUAUCAGGAAUUACAGUUCUGUUGCCGCUCCCCUGCAUUCUCUGACCUCCCCCAACGUCAAGUUCCAGUGGUCCCCCUCAACGGAACAAGCCUUCCAGAGGCUAAUGGACAUUUUCACAUCUGCUCCUGUCCUCACUCAUCCUGAACCCUGUCUACAAUUUGUGGUGGAAGUGAAUGCCUCUGAUGUUGGAGUUGGGGCAGUCCUCUCCCAGCGUUCACAGGAAGACAAUAAACUCCACCCUUGCGCCUACUUCUCCCGGGAAAACUCUCUCCUGCUGAGAGAAAUUAUGAUGUUGGGAAUAAAGAGUUGUUGGCCAUCAAAGUGGCUCUGGAGGAAUGGCGUCACUGGUUGGAGGGAGUGGAACACCCCUAUCUGGGGUGCCGAGUCUCCCAAAAUCCGGCCACAUGGAGCAAGCAUCUCAUCUGGGUAGAGUAUGCACACAACAUCCUACCCAGUUCAUCUACUGGGGUACGUUCGUCGUAGAGUUGAAGCUAAGUUAAUCAAUUGGCCUUUUAGCCCGUUAAGAUUAGCGAGCUGAUU
Clupea harengus (Atlantic herring) is the source of this 1360-nucleotide long non-coding RNA. RefSeq lists it as uncharacterized. The transcript has 3 exons. The record is from RefSeq and is a predicted model, not a curated record. NCBI's taxonomy places the organism in Eukaryota, Metazoa, Chordata, Actinopteri, Clupeiformes, Clupeidae.